This 139-nucleotide unclassified non-coding RNA is filed under the name uncultured Myrothecium. Its description in RNAcentral is "sequence contains ITS1". The record is from RNAcentral. Lineage: Eukaryota; Fungi; Ascomycota; Sordariomycetes; Hypocreales.
CCGAGUGAAAACUCCCAAACCCCAUGUGAACCUUACCUAUCGUUGCUUCGGCGGCCCGAAUCUCGCGGCCGCCGAAGACCCCAAACCCUCAUGUUUUUAGUGGUUUUCUCCUCUGAGUGACACAUAAACAAAUAAGUAA